UAGCUAGUUGGUGAGGUAAAGGCUUACCAAGGCGACGAUCUGUAGCGGGUCUGAGAGGAUGAUCCGCCACACUGGAACUGAGACACGGUCCAGACUCCUACGGGAGGCAGCAGUGGGGAAUUUUGGACAAUGGGGGCAACCCUGAUCCAGCCAUGCCGCGUGAGUGAAGAAGGCCUUCGGGUUGUAAAGCUCUUUCGGCCGGGAAGAAAUCGCAUGGGCCAAUACCCUGUGUGGAUGACGGUACCGGAAUAAGAAGCACCGGCUAACUACGUGCCAGCAGCCGCGGUAAUACGUAGGGUGCGAGCGUUAAUCGGAAUUACUGGGCGUAAAGCGUGCGCAGGCGGUUUUGUAAGACAGGCGUGAAAUCCCCGGGCUUAACCUGGGAACUGCGUUUGUGACUGCAAGGCUAGAGUACGGCAGAGGGGGGUGGAAUUCCACGUGUAGCAGUGAAAUGCGUAGAGAUGUGGAGGAACACCAAUGGCGAAGGCAGCCCCCUGGGUCGAUACUGACGCUCAUGCACGAAAGCGUGGGUAGCAAACAGGAUUAGAUACCCUGGUAGUCCACGCCCUAAACUAUGUCAACUAGGUGUUGGGUGGGUAAAACCAUUUAGUACCGUAGCUAACGCGUGAAGUUGACCGCCUGGGGAGUACGGCCGCAAGGUUAAAACUCAAAGGAAUUGACGGGGACCCGCACAAGCGGUGGAUGAUGUGGAUUAAUUCGAUGCAACGCGAAAAACCUUACCUACCCUUGACAUGCCAGGAACUUGCCAGAGAUGGCUUGGUGCCCGAAAGGGAGCCUGGACACAGGUGCUGCAUGGCUGUCGUCAGCUCGUGUCGUGAGAUGUUGGGUUAAGUCCCGCAACGAGCGCAACCCUUGUCGUUAAUUGCCAUCAUUUAGUUGGGCACUUUAACGAGACUGCCGGUGACAAACCGGAGGAAGGUGGGGAUGACGUCAAGUCCUCAUGGCCCUUAUGGGUAGGGCUUCACACGUCAUAUAAUGGUCGGUACAAAGGGUUGCCAAGCCGCGAGGCGGAGCCAAUCCCAGAAAGCCGAUCGUAGUCCGGAUUGCAGGCUGCAACUCGCCUGCAUGAAGUCGGAAUCGCUAGUAAUCGUGGAUCAGCAUGCCACGGUGAAUACGUUCCCGGGUCUUGUACACACCGCCCGUCACACCAUGGGAGCGGGUUCCGCCAGAAGUAGGUAGCCUAACCGCAAGGGGGGCGCUUACCACGGCGGGGUUCGUGACUGGGGUGAAGUCGUAACAAGGUAGCCGUAGGGGAACCUGCGGCUG
Molecule: ribosomal RNA, 1287 nt
Filed under: metagenome
Description: bacterial SSU rRNA
Rfam family: Bacterial small subunit ribosomal RNA
Source: RNAcentral